GCUUGCCUCUUGCCCAGAACCUAGAGCAUGCGUGCGCAUUAGAAACUGUUAAGAAACCGCUGGGGAAGGAGCUGCGGAGGCGUGGAGGAGAUCUGUGGAGUUUAACAUGAAACCACAAGGUUCUCAUUAGGAAUGAAAAUAAUUCCCUCAUUCCAGAAUAGGAGACAACCGUGAACCUACCAACUUUACUUGGUCAAAACUGACAUUGUUAUUUUUUUGUGACGUAUUUUUUCAAUAUGAUUGGAAAAAUGAAUCAAUUUUUCUGGUUCUAGGUAAUGCCUAAAUAGCCCUAUAUAAAGCAUGAAAUUUAUUUAUUGUAAGUACUAGUGACAAAGAAAAUUAGUUUUCUAGUACAAAAAUCUUCAGCUUUUUAAACAUU
This is a long non-coding RNA of Peromyscus eremicus (cactus mouse), 379 nucleotides long. RefSeq lists it as uncharacterized. The transcript is spliced from 2 exons. Lineage: Eukaryota; Metazoa; Chordata; Mammalia; Rodentia; Cricetidae. The record is from RefSeq and is a predicted model, not a curated record.